AUUUCCACUGCUGGACCGAGGACACAGGGUUUGGAAUUCCUAGAGAAUUACCUUUGAGAGAAGCUGGAAAUAAUUUCUUUAAAUUUCAUCUCUUAGUUUUCAUCUUGUUGCAUUUCUGAGGCAUAUCCAGGAGCC
Molecule: non-coding RNA, 135 nt
Organism: Ictidomys tridecemlineatus (thirteen-lined ground squirrel)
Lineage: Eukaryota; Metazoa; Chordata; Mammalia; Rodentia; Sciuridae
Source: Rfam